UUUACAUUUUAUACAAUAUAAAAAAUCAAUUUAAAUCCAAAAUACAUAUAGAAAAAUACAAACAAUAAACAAAUUUAAAAACUUUCAAAUCCUCAAAUUUAUCAUUCAAAUUAAAUCUUGUUUUUUAUAUUAAUUUUAAUAAACAUAGUGAGGAUAUCAUUUUCAUUAAAUAAUAUAUAGUGGUUUUAUUUUAAAAAUGAUUAUAUAUAUAUAUUUAACCAGUAUAAUGAAUUUCAUUUAUGAGCUUUAAUUUCAACUACCUAUUGCAUAUUAAGUCAAACAUUACUCCCAUUAAAGAGUGAUUAGGAAUAAAUUGAUCCUAAUUCCUAACAGUUGUCCUGCUUGUCUUACUACCUGUAAAGGAAAAUAAAAAAGAAAUAUGCUAGCUAGGUGUAAAUGCAUGGCAGCUGUCCUACUAUUGAUAGCCUAGACAGUGUCUUGGUUUUGGCUAGGAGUAAAGGAAAAUAAAAAUGAAAAUAUAAAAAAAAAAAUCAAAUGACAGAAAACUUAGAAAGAAAACUGAAGAGGCCUAAAGUCUAUCAUCCUCUCAAAACUUAUAUCCUUUCAAAACUCUAUCAAAUUCUUGGAAUAUGCUGGUUGUGCCUUUUCCCUUCAUCUCUAACCUAAAGUCUAAAAAACAUAUUUGCACUGCAAAAACAAGCAAAAAGCCAAGAAUCAAGACAAUUUUAGAUACUUAUUUGAAAAUUUUCAAUCACUGAAUGUGAAAGUGAUCAGGGUUUACUUUGUUUGCCAUUUGAUUUGGAGUUUAGGGACUGAAAUAUGAGAAAUAUAAUUUCAUAUUUUCUAUUGCUUUUGAGUUUUGAAUUUUGAUAGCUUUUUUCUAUUUAUUUGGUCUUCUUUUCGCUUUUUUUUGAUUGAAAACACUCUGGUUUUGCAAGUAGAGAAAUAUAUUUUCUUUUGUUUUAUUAUGUUUCACUGUUUCUGUUGAUUUUUAUUUAGAAAAGAUGGAUUUUUUUUAAUUUACUGUAACAGAAAAUAACGAGAAUAGUGGCCCGUUAUUGCCGCAAUUGGUCGUUACCCGUUAAAUUGCGGCCGCGUGGCCCGACCCGAAGGCCCGCCCGAAAUGUGAGAAAGUUUGGACAAAAAUAUAAGCCCGAAAAAUAGGCUUGGGUAAAAAAAAUAAGGCCCGUUUAAAAAACAGGCCGGAACUCAGGUAAGGCAUUUUUGAGCCGGACUCGGCCUGACCCGACCUGAAUUCACUACAUGAAAAAAAAAUUUUAAUAUUAUUUUCUUAUUGUUUUCUCACUAUUUUGCUACUAUUUUGUAAUUAUUGUUUGAAUAUUGUAUAAAACUUAUUUUAUUGUUAAUUUUUUAUUAUUUUAAAGACAUUUGUUAAUUUUGUUAUUAUUUUAAAAACAUUUGUUUGUUAAGUUAUUUAAGUAUACAUAUUUUUUAAAAUUUAAUUUCAAUUUGUUGAGAAAUAUUUAUUUGAUGUUUUUAGUAUUUUUGAUGGUUUAUAUAUGUUUUAAAACUAUAUAAAAAUAAUAUAAAAUUUUAUAUGGGUAGGCUAGGUCGGGCCCAAAUUUUAACAUUUUUAUUUGAGUCAGAUUUGAAAAAAAUUUUAGGCCCAUUUUUCAGGCCGGGCCAGACCCAAGCCUAAUAAACGAGCCUAAAUUUUUAGUUGUGUCCGGCCCGGCCCAUGCACACCUCUAAGCGCGACUCACCGCUAUUAGUGUGAUUUCGCUUCACAUCGCUAUUUUCAGCAAUAACAUUUUAAGACGGUGCCGCUACCGCUAUAUAGCGGCGGCUAUAGCGGUAUCAGACUGAUAUUUAAAUCCCUGAUGAGAAUACCCAUCACCGAUCAUUUAUCACAAUUACAAUAUGGGCUCUCUGGUUGUCAAGGAAAAAACUGGUGCAUGAGGGAAGUAGGCAAACCGUUAAUGAGUUCAGUUCAUUUGUUCUAAGGUGUGUUAAAGAACUGGAAAUGAUAGAAAAGAUUUACCCAAAGGCUAGCCAAGAUCAGCCUGUGCGAUGGACCCCUCCAAAGACCCGAUGGGUUAAGGCCAACUUUGACGAGGGUUUUUGCAGUGACCUGCAAAAAUCCAGUAUAAGAGCUGUUAUUCGAGAUGAAAAUGGUCUGUUAAUGGGGGCAUAUUGUAGUUGGAAUAGAAAUAUUCAGUCACCUGAAGCGGCGGAGGCUUUGGCUGCAGUUCAAGCUGUUCGUUUUGCCCAGGACAUGGGUUUUCGUAAAGUCACGGGGAUUCAAUGGUGGUCAUCUCAAAAAUAAAGGCGCAACAUUUGGAUAGAUCGGAGGUUAGCAUAUAUAUACAGGGGAAGCCAAGUAGUUACUUAUGGGUUUUGAGAAGUUUAAAUUUUAGCAUAUAAAAAGGGGAGGGAAUCGAGUUGCUCACAUAUUAGCCAAGGAAGACUUUCGCCGGAAACAUGACAUGCAAUGGGCGGAAGAGGGCCCAACGAUGAUACGGGAAACAGUGGCGAUGGAGGAAAUGAGGAUCAAUCACGCCGAUUCGUAACCUCUUCGUGGUAUGAGAAAGCUGUACUUGUGAAUCUAAGCAGCAAUUUCAUGGACAUUCUUCAUUUUUGAACCUUCACUGGAGAUUUGGGAUCAGAAAUGAAGGGUCUCUGAGCUGGUGUGCAUAGGAAAUCGUUGGGUUUCUUUUCGUGGUUUUAUGUUAUUGGUUUUAAUGUUUUAUGGUUUUGCUUUUAUUUGUAUUUUAUUGGCUUAUCGGUACUGAACACUUUAUUUAAUGUUGGUUUUAAUAAAGCAGGCCAAUAUUAUUUAAAAAAACCUUAUAUGACAAUAAAAAGUAGAUUUUGUCAA
Molecule: long non-coding RNA, 2800 nt
Filed under: Gossypium barbadense (sea-island cotton)
Lineage: Eukaryota; Viridiplantae; Streptophyta; Magnoliopsida; Malvales; Malvaceae
Description: long non-coding RNA (GBAR_LNC002002)
Source: RNAcentral